Molecule: ribosomal RNA, 332 nt
Filed under: uncultured bacterium
Lineage: Bacteria
Description: bacterial SSU rRNA
Rfam family: Bacterial small subunit ribosomal RNA
Source: RNAcentral
UGCGUAGGCGGUUUGGUAAGUCUUGUGUGAAAUCUCUGGGCUCAACUCAGAGUCCGCACGAGAUACUGCCGGGCUUGAGUAUGGGAGAGGUGAGUGGAAUUCCUGGUGUAGCGGUGAAAUGCGUAGAUAUCAGGAGGAACACCUGUGGCGAAAGCGGCUCACUGGACCAUAACUGACGCUGAUGCACGAAAGCUAGGGGAGCAAACAGGAUUAGAUACCCUGGUAGUCCUAGCCCUAAACGAUGACUGCUUGGUGUGGCGGGUACCCAAUCCCGCCGUGCCGUAGCUAACGCGUUAAGCAGUCCGCCUGGGGAGUACGGUCGCAAGGCUGAA